Molecule: ribosomal RNA, 497 nt
Filed under: uncultured bacterium
Lineage: Bacteria
Description: partial 16S ribosomal RNA
Rfam family: Bacterial small subunit ribosomal RNA
Source: RNAcentral
GAUGAACGCUGGCGGCGUGCCUAAUACAUGCAAGUCGAGCGAACAGACGAGGAGCUUGCUCCUCUGACGUUAGCGGCGGACGGGUGAGUAACACGUGGAUAACCUACCUAUAAGACUGGGAUAACUUCGGGAAAACGGAGCUAAUACCGGAUAAUAUAUUGAACCGCAUGGUUCAAUAGUGAAAGACGGUUUUGCUGUCACUUAUAGAUGGAUCCGCGCCGCAUUAGCUAGUUGGUAAGGUAACGGCUUACCAAGGCAACGAUGCGUAGCCGACCUGAGAGGGUGAUCGGCCACACUGGAACUGAGACACGGUCCAGACUCCUACGGGAGGCAGCAGUAGGGAAUCUUCCGCAAUGGGCGAAAGCUUGACGGAGCAACGCCGCGUGAGUGAUGAAGGUCUUCGGAUCGUAAAACUCUGUUAUUAGGGAAGAACAAAUGUGUAAGUAACUAUGCACGUCUUGACGGUACCUAAUCAGAAAGCCACGGCUAACUACGUG